AUCCCAGCGUUUACACUAGGGUCACAUCGUACCUUGACUUCAUUCUCCAAGCGAUGCAAUAAUAUGAUAUUACUGUUCCAUAAAUAUCAUUGUGUAAAAAACGUAAAGUUGGAUUUUCUUAUUGUGGAGAUAAGAAACAGCUCAAAUUUACAUUGUUUUGUACGUUACAAAUUAUAGGCUUAAAAUGUACGAAAUGUAACUUUGAAACGACACUAAUUUUUUACGCACGAUAAACCUCCACGACUUAGAUUAUAGAUUCCUAUACGACUCUCAGUAAAAAUUUAUCCGCACUCCAGAUAGUUAAAACUUCUGUCGACCGUAUUGAUCCAUCUGCACUCUUCGUAUGACGUCAAUAUCUGCUCAGUGCUGCUGCGCAGGUUUCUUUGUGUUACGUCAAUUCGUUUGUGACCGUUGCGCGAGUAAUGGCGCUUUGCAAUGGUGAUUUGCAGGAAAACAGUGCAGGAUGCUGUGAUUCGUUUCUUGUGGUCGGAGGUUAUGUUUGAUGCCUAUAUUUAUCAAAGAUUUAAUGCACAUUAUGGAGAAAGUGUUUUGUCACGAAGUGUGUUUGAAUGGGCACAAAAGUUCAAAGAAGAUCGCACGAGUGUUAUGAAAAAACAGCUGGACGCCCGUCCACAUCCACGAUGACAACAUUGAACGUGCUCAUGAACUUAUGCUCUAUGGAAUAGACGAGUGACACUGGAUAAUGUGGCAAAUCAUUUGCAAAUCAGCCACGGCUCUGCUUAUGCAAUAGUGCACGACAGAUUUGGAUUUUAAAAAGUUUGUGCGAGAUGGAUGCCGAAAAAGCUGAUGAAAAGGUGAAGACGACGAUGCAUUCGUGGUUCGCAGCUCAGCCCAAAACAUUUUUUAAUGAGAAAAUACAAAGGUCCUUCGGCAAAUGGACAAAGUGUAUACAGAAAUCGAGUGAUUAUGUCAAAAAAUGAUGUAUGUCUUUUUUGACAAUUGCUUAAAAUAAAUUCUACACCGACAGAGCGGGCUGUUAAUCUAGAGGCUGGAGUACAAAGAAGUGGCACAAUGAUGUGGGCUGAUGACAUUUAUAAUUAUCAAGGAAUCACCCCUACAUUCGCUCAGAAUUUUAAUGAAACUGUCCCUUGGGAAGGAAGAACUGAUACCUUGAUAUCAUGGUUUGUACAUCCUAUAUAUACGACAAAUUUUAGAACAUUAUAUAACGAAGAACCAGAUCGUCGUGGCCAUGUGAUGUGAAUAAAAGGACUUGAAUUUGAUGAUAUUUUUAUAAUGUUAGAUAACAUAACUAAGUAUCUUCACAGUAAGAUAGGAUG
Bombus huntii is the source of this 1298-nucleotide RNA transcript. It is a transcript of the gene named venom serine protease Bi-VSP-like, with no coding region annotated. Lineage: Eukaryota; Metazoa; Arthropoda; Insecta; Hymenoptera; Apidae. The record is from RefSeq and is a predicted model, not a curated record. The transcript is spliced from 4 exons.